Long non-coding RNA from Uloborus diversus, 2782 nucleotides. RefSeq lists it as uncharacterized. The transcript has 5 exons. The record is from RefSeq and is a predicted model, not a curated record. NCBI's taxonomy places the organism in Eukaryota, Metazoa, Arthropoda, Arachnida, Araneae, Uloboridae.
GAAAGUCAACAGCAUUUCUUGUAAUCCCCUUCUUAGGGGAAUGCUUCGAAUAGUAGAAACAUAAGCAGCAACGAAGGAGAGGUUAAGAAAAAUCCAAUCGUUCGGCGUUUGUUGUCAUUUAAGAAUGAAAACGACACAAGAUAUUUUGCUGAGUUUCCCAAAGGAUCAACCCCCCCCCCCCUAUGGACGCCUCAGCAUGUUGACUAGAUGAAAGUAACCUUUCAUGCAAAUGGCGUAAUGGUAAGGCGGGCGAAAUUCAAGAGCAAUAAAUGAGGCGUGGCAACCUUCUUCAACAUAGAGCAGCUACUAGUAUUGUAGCAUACUCUCUAUACAUGUGGCUACAGCUCAGAUGAAACUUCAAUUGGUGAUUCUGUGGGGCUGUCAUUUUAUGAUCUCUUAACGCCAGCAAUUCCCAAUUUUCCGGAUUUCAAGCAUAGAAAUCAAGGAUCAUCAGGAUCAUUAAGUAGCAGUCUGCACUUUGACACAAUGCUGACCCCAACGGAUUUUGCUUGAAAGCCAAUAUUUUAUACUCUCCUACAAGAAAUGCCAGCUACCUGUUGUGUCUCGGGAUGUCAGUCAAAUGAUCAGGGAGAAGAAUCAACAAGAGUUUUCAAUUUUCUUCCUAAAAGAACACCCCAGUAUGAGAACUGGCUGAGAAAAUAUCACAGAAAGAUAAGGAACCUGGUUCCAGAACUGUGGUAUGCUUGAUACAUUUUAAUGAAAAUGAUGUUGUGAAAAAUGACGUCAUCAAUAUGCCAAAUGGGUCAUCAUUAACAGUUCCUCGAAAGAGAUACCAACUACAGGACGAUGCUCUUCCCUGCAUCUUCCUGAACUAACCAGUAUACCUCUCGGAACAGCUUUCAACUUCUACUAAGAGUGGAACAAAUCCUAUUGAAAGAAAAGCCAAACAUCUUCAGAGCUCAAAGUCUUCCUACAUUUCAUAAAAAUCCUAUAUUUUUCAUAAAAGGGCAAAAACCAUCCUAUAUUUCCUAUAAAUCCUAUAUUUUCAAUAAAAAUCCUAUAUUUUUGGUACCACAUAAGAAUUCUUUCUUCAUUUCUGCAUUUUUGGUUUGCCCAGUUUCCCUCGAGAAAAGAGGAUAUGCAAAAACAAUUUUUUGAUUGAGAAUAUUCCAAAGUGUUAAGGUUUGUGAGCAAGCGGUGGCUUUUUGUGGUUCCAGUAUGUGAACGGACAUUACAACUGUUGCCAGUUUUAAAGGAAUACUUCCUAGAGGAUCUUCCUAAGCAAAAGAGUUGAUUGUUAAGGCUUAAUAGGUGUGCACUAUGCAACCAUCAAGAAAGUUUUAGCAAGUCCUUUACUGCAAUCCAUCUCGUCUAUUCUGAUUAGCAUCUGAUCAUUUUAGGACAUACAAAAUGUUCUUCAACAAAAGAACACAACAAUACACCUAUUGCAUAACAAGUUGUGUGACCGUUUAUUGAAAGUUAUGCAGCGCUUCAUCAAAGAAGGGGAACUGGUGAAAAAUUGCAUGAGGUAGAGCCAAUAAAAGAUUGUGUACCCUGAAAAGCCAUCAAUGUGGGGAACAAUGCUCAGAAAGCAUAGCAUGCAAUUGAAAAUAAUACAAAAGAUUUAUUUCUCCCUAAUGCCAAACACUUUUACGAGGACAAGGUGAAAAGUUCUCGGCCUGACAAUGAAAGACUGCUGUUUUCAGUUUAAAAUUGAUUUUGUUUUUCUACAUAAUAUUCCUUGAGUUUAAUAAACUUAGUCCAAGGUUUCUCCAACAUUAGUAUUCCUUCCCGAAAAUAAGAGUCUGGAAGGCUGUGAAAAUAUUUAUCUCUUUCCCUCUCAAGCCCUUUCCAGAAGUAAAUUUCUCCAAGUUUGUUAACAGAUGGGGGAACUCUGAUGGUGCCAGUGUAACAGGAGGAAUGGCUGAGCAAACCGUACCUCAAAUUCCGCAGUUUACCUAUUGCUAACACACCUUUGUGAACUGGUGUGUUAUCCUGGCAAAAGAUUGAUUUUUUUUCCUUCAAGCCAGGCCUCUUUUCCAGAAUUUUGGCAUCCAGCUAGUGAAGAAGGUUAGAUUAAUAUUUGCCUGUAAUUGCUUUCCCUUCUCUCGGCAGUCAAUUAACAGGAUCCCUUUUGCACCCCAAAACAUGUUGCUCAAAUCCUUUUCAUGAAGAUGAAUCAACGUCUCUCUUUUCAUCUCUGAACACCAGCUUCCACCCACUCUUUUGAUUGUUUCGCUGUUGGAGUGUAGUAGUGAACUCAUGCCUUACUAAUGGUGACAAAUUGCUGUACGAAAAUGCUCCGAUCCCUGUUGAAACAAUCCAAAUAUUGCAGUGAAAAUCUGAUUUUAAUCGGCAUUCAGUAAAUGCGGCCUCCAUCUUGUGCCUAGCUUUCGCGCCUCCAAUUUUUUGCACAAGAUGUUUCUCACCCUUUCUUUCAAUAUCCUCACUGCAUGCUGCUUAGACUAAAAGCUGCUCAGUAGUCAAGCAUUUUAUGUCAUUUUUUGCCAAACCAUUUUCAAUUUAAAUUACAAUAAUGUUCUUUCCCAUAAUAUUACAAUCAUUUUUAUUUAUUUUUUUGUGUGUGAGAAAUCUGAAUUUUCAUAUUGUGACAAUAAAUCAGUAAGGUAUGUAUGACAAUUUAUGUUUAUUUGCAUCAGUAGUGCUCAAUGGUAACUUUUUAUGAUCUGUAUUCAAAAUUGAAUCAUUAUUAUUUUGAUUUUUCUUUUGCUGUACUAUAAAUCCUAUAUUUUUUCAAAAUAUGUUCUAUAUUUUUUCAAAAAAGUCCUAUGUUUUGUCAGUUGGGCGCUUUGAUCCCUGA